GGCGGAAUUGGUAAACGCACUAGACUUUUAAUCUAGCGAAACAGGCACUCAAAAUGCCUUUUUUAUUUGCACAGGUUCGAAUCCUGUCGAGACCA
Molecule: transfer RNA, 95 nt
Filed under: Aquimarina mytili
Lineage: Bacteria; Pseudomonadati; Bacteroidota; Flavobacteriia; Flavobacteriales; Flavobacteriaceae
Description: tRNA-Lys
Rfam family: tRNA
About the family: Transfer RNA (tRNA) molecules are approximately 80 nucleotides in length. Their secondary structure includes four short double-helical elements and three loops (D, anti-codon, and T loops).
Source: RNAcentral